AGUGAACGCUGGCGGUAGACCUAACACAUGCAAGUCGAACGGCAGCACAGUAAGAGCUUGCUCUUACGGGUGGCGAGUGGCGGACGGGUGAGGAAUACAUCGGAAUCUACUUUUUCGUGGGGGAUAACGUAGGGAAACUUACGCUAAUACCGCAUACGACCUACGGGUGAAAGCAGGGGAUCUUCGGACCCUGCGCGAUUGAAUGAGCCGAUGUCGGAUUAGCUAGUUGGCGGGGUAAAGGCCCACCAAGGCGACGAUCCGUAGCUGGUCUGAGAGGAUGAUCAGCCACACUGGAACUGAGACACGGUCCAGACUCCUACGGGAGGCAGCAGUGGGGAAUAUUGGACAAUGGGCGCAAGCCUGAUCCAGCCAUACCGCGUGGGUGAAGAAGGCCUUCGGGUUGUAAAGCCCUUUUGUUGGGAAAGAAAAGCAGCAGGUUAAUACCCCGCUGUUCUGACGGUACCCAAAGAAUAAGCACCGGCUAACUUCGUG
Molecule: ribosomal RNA, 492 nt
Filed under: uncultured bacterium
Lineage: Bacteria
Description: partial 16S ribosomal RNA
Rfam family: Bacterial small subunit ribosomal RNA
Source: RNAcentral